RNAcentral lists this ribosomal RNA (301 nucleotides) under uncultured bacterium. Its description in RNAcentral is "partial 16S ribosomal RNA". It matches the Rfam family "Bacterial small subunit ribosomal RNA", at positions 509 to 807 of the family's 1533-position model. The record is from RNAcentral.
CAGCCGCCGCGGGAAUACGAAGGGUGCAAGCGUUACUCGGAAUUACUGGGCGUAAAGCGUGCGUAGGUGGUGAGUUAAGUCUGCUGUGAAAUCCCCGGGCUCAACCUGGGAAUGGCAGUGGAUACUGGCUCGCUAGAGUGUGUCAGAGGAUGGUGGAAUUCCCGGUGUAGCGGUGAAAUGCGUAGAGAUCGGGAGGAACAUCAGUGGCGAAAGCGGCUCACUGGACCAUAACUGACGCUGAGGCACGAAAGCUAGGGGAGCAAACAGGAUUAGAUACCCCAGUAGUCCCUGUCUCUUAUAC